GAACAACUAAGAAAAGCUGGACAAAAACUUGUGGUUGUUACCUUCUCAUCUCAAAAUUGUGGUCCUUGCAGACCUGUAGCUGCUGGUUUAAAGGCACUAAGUGAAGAAAUGCCCGAUGUACUGUUCAUUAAAAUUGAAGUUGGUAAAUGUGACGCAUUUACAGAGCGUUUCAAAAUCACUGGAGUCCCAGCAUUCUUCUUCUAUAGGAACGGCAUUGAAGUAAGUUCAAUUACUGUA
Long non-coding RNA from Nanorana parkeri, 237 nucleotides. RefSeq lists it as uncharacterized. Lineage: Eukaryota; Metazoa; Chordata; Amphibia; Anura; Dicroglossidae. The record is from RefSeq and is a predicted model, not a curated record. The transcript has 3 exons.